Molecule: ribosomal RNA, 2892 nt
Filed under: Pseudomonas sp. W4I3
Lineage: Bacteria; Pseudomonadati; Pseudomonadota; Gammaproteobacteria; Pseudomonadales; Pseudomonadaceae
Description: 23S ribosomal RNA
Rfam family: Bacterial large subunit ribosomal RNA
Source: RNAcentral
GGUCAAGUGAAGAAGCGCAUACGGUGGAUGCCUUGGCAGUCAGAGGCGAUGAAAGACGUGGUAGCCUGCGAAAAGCUUCGGGGAGUCGGCAAACAGACUUUGAUCCGGAGAUGUCUGAAUGGGGGAACCCAGCCAUCAUAAGAUGGUUACCUUACACUGAAUACAUAGGUGUAUGGAGCGAACCAGGGGAACUGAAACAUCUAAGUACCCUGAGGAAAAGAAAUCAACCGAGAUUCCCUUAGUAGUGGCGAGCGAACGGGGACUAGCCCUUAAGUGGCUUUGAGAUUAGCGGAACGCUCUGGAAAGUGCGGCCAUAGUGGGUGAUAGCCCUGUACGCGAAAAUCUCUUAGUCAUGAAAUCGAGUAGGACGGAGCACGAGAAACUUUGUCUGAAUAUGGGGGGACCAUCCUCCAAGGCUAAAUACUACUGACUGACCGAUAGUGAACUAGUACCGUGAGGGAAAGGCGAAAAGAACCCCGGAGAGGGGAGUGAAAUAGAUCCUGAAACCGUAUGCGUACAAGCAGUGGGAGCCCACGUUGUUGGGUGACUGCGUACCUUUUGUAUAAUGGGUCAGCGACUUAUUUUCAGUGGCGAGCUUAACCGAAUAGGGGAGGCGUAGCGAAAGCGAGUCUUAAUAGGGCGUCUAGUCGCUGGGAAUAGACCCGAAACCGGGCGAUCUAUCCAUGGGCAGGUUGAAGGUUGGGUAACACUAACUGGAGGACCGAACCGACUACCGUUGAAAAGUUAGCGGAUGACCUGUGGAUCGGAGUGAAAGGCUAAUCAAGCUCGGAGAUAGCUGGUUCUCCUCGAAAGCUAUUUAGGUAGCGCCUCAUGUAUCACUGUAGGGGGUAGAGCACUGUUUCGGCUAGGGGGUCAUCCCGACUUACCAAACCGAUGCAAACUCCGAAUACCUACAAGUGCCGAGCAUGGGAGACACACGGCGGGUGCUAACGUCCGUCGUGAAAAGGGAAACAACCCAGACCGUCAGCUAAGGUCCCAAAGUUAUGGUUAAGUGGGAAACGAUGUGGGAAGGCUUAGACAGCUAGGAGGUUGGCUUAGAAGCAGCCACCCUUUAAAGAAAGCGUAAUAGCUCACUAGUCGAGUCGGCCUGCGCGGAAGAUGUAACGGGGCUCAAACCAUACACCGAAGCUACGGGUAUCACGUAAGUGAUGCGGUAGAGGAGCGUUCUGUAAGCCUGUGAAGGUGAGUUGAGAAGCUUGCUGGAGGUAUCAGAAGUGCGAAUGCUGACAUGAGUAACGACAAUGGGUGUGAAAAACACCCACGCCGAAAGACCAAGGUUUCCUGCGCAACGUUAAUCGACGCAGGGUUAGUCGGUCCCUAAGGCGAGGCUGAAAAGCGUAGUCGAUGGAAAACAGGUUAAUAUUCCUGUACUUCUGGUUAUUGCGAUGGAGGGACGGAGAAGGCUAGGCCAGCUUGGCGUUGGUUGUCCAAGUUUAAGGUGGUAGGCUGGAAUCUUAGGUAAAUCCGGGAUUCUAAGGCCGAGAGCUGAUGACGAGUCAUCUUUUAGAUGACGAAGUGGUUGAUGCCAUGCUUCCAAGAAAAGCUUCUAAGCUUCAGGUAACCAGGAACCGUACCCCAAACCGACACAGGUGGUUGGGUAGAGAAUACCAAGGCGCUUGAGAGAACUCGGGUGAAGGAACUAGGCAAAAUGGCACCGUAACUUCGGGAGAAGGUGCGCCGGUGAGGGUGAAGGACUUGCUCCGUAAGCUCAUGCCGGUCGAAGAUACCAGGCCGCUGCGACUGUUUAUUAAAAACACAGCACUCUGCAAACACGAAAGUGGACGUAUAGGGUGUGACGCCUGCCCGGUGCCGGAAGGUUAAUUGAUGGGGUUAGCUAACGCGAAGCUCUUGAUCGAAGCCCCGGUAAACGGCGGCCGUAACUAUAACGGUCCUAAGGUAGCGAAAUUCCUUGUCGGGUAAGUUCCGACCUGCACGAAUGGCGUAACGAUGGCGGCGCUGUCUCCACCCGAGACUCAGUGAAAUUGAAAUCGCUGUGAAGAUGCAGUGUAUCCGCGGCUAGACGGAAAGACCCCGUGAACCUUUACUAUAGCUUUGCACUGGACUUUGAAUUUGCUUGUGUAGGAUAGGUGGGAGGCUUUGAAGCGUGGACGCCAGUCUGCGUGGAGCCAACCUUGAAAUACCACCCUGGCAACUUUGAGGUUCUAACUCAGGUCCGUUAUCCGGAUCGAGGACAGUGUAUGGUGGGUAGUUUGACUGGGGCGGUCUCCUCCUAAAGAGUAACGGAGGAGUACGAAGGUGCGCUCAGACCGGUCGGAAAUCGGUCGUAGAGUAUAAAGGCAAAAGCGCGCUUGACUGCGAGACAGACACGUCGAGCAGGUACGAAAGUAGGUCUUAGUGAUCCGGUGGUUCUGUAUGGAAGGGCCAUCGCUCAACGGAUAAAAGGUACUCCGGGGAUAACAGGCUGAUACCGCCCAAGAGUUCAUAUCGACGGCGGUGUUUGGCACCUCGAUGUCGGCUCAUCACAUCCUGGGGCUGAAGCCGGUCCCAAGGGUAUGGCUGUUCGCCAUUUAAAGUGGUACGCGAGCUGGGUUUAGAACGUCGUGAGACAGUUCGGUCCCUAUCUGCCGUGGACGUUUGAGAUUUGAGAGGGGCUGCUCCUAGUACGAGAGGACCGGAGUGGACGAACCUCUGGUGUUCCGGUUGUCACGCCAGUGGCAUUGCCGGGUAGCUAUGUUCGGAAUAGAUAACCGCUGAAAGCAUCUAAGCGGGAAACUAGCCUCAAGAUGAGAUCUCACUGGAACCUUGAGUUCCCUGAAGGGCCGUCGAAGACUACGACGUUGAUAGGUUGGGUGUGUAAGCGCUGUGAGGCGUUGAGCUAACCAAUACUAAUUGCCCGUGAGGCUUGACCAU